Molecule: ribosomal RNA, 253 nt
Filed under: uncultured bacterium
Lineage: Bacteria
Description: partial 16S ribosomal RNA
Rfam family: Bacterial small subunit ribosomal RNA
Source: RNAcentral
UACGUAGGGCGCAAGCGUUGCCCGGAUUUAUUGGGCGUAAAGAGCUCGUAGGCGGUCUGUCGCGUCGGCUGUGAAAACCCGAGGCUCAACCUCGGGCCUGCAGUCGAUACGGGCAGACUAGAGUGUGGCAGGGGAGACUGGAAUUCCUGGUGUAGCGGUGAAAUGCGCAGAUAUCAGGAGGAACACCGGUGGCGAAGGCGGGUCUCUGGGCCAUAACUGACGCUGAGGAGCGAAAGCGUGGGGAGCGAACAGG